UUUCUUAUAUUCUUCUCUCUAUACGUUGGUGUUCUAACCAAUAAUCACCAAUACGAUAUUCUGUCCGAUCGAUUCGGAAACCAACGGACGAAUGCCAAAGUGCUGUCUAAAUAAGACUAUACUUUGUGAAUUUCGUUAAGGUUCUGAUCUCGUGACCAUCGUUAGGUUUGAUUGGGUUUAACACUAAUACGUAUUCCACUCUGUUAAACUAAAUGUUUAACUACCAGAAACUCUGCACUAUACACUUACAAUCAAGAUAGAUGCCUAGUUAUCAGAAGACUUAGAAUCAGAAGGCCUGUUAAAUCAAGACUAUAUGCUAACAAGGUGAUUACAAUAGAUUGGAAUAAAAGUGAUGAUACGGCACCGAAAGGCUUAAAGAAGUGGCUUAUUUUAUUAAUUAAAUUAAAUUAAGAAAACAUUGUUUCAUAUAUUCGGGCUUAUCCCAUAUUAAAGCUACCUUUGUAAAACAUGGGUUUAUUCCCAUCGGUUUAAUAAAUAAAAAUCCGGUGUUUUAUUUUAUUUAAUUACACGAACGGUUACUACACAUUCAUCGCGUUAAAGAAAAAUAUUGUACCUAUAUUUUCAUAAGUGACAUACCAUCUUCUCUCUAAGUUUUAUUUAUGUUCCACUUCUUUCAAAUCUUAUUAAGAUAUACAGUAAAACCUUUACAAAUUAAUAUUCAAUAAAUUAAUAACCUUGAUGAAAUUAAUAAUUUGUCUAGUCCCAACUUAGGAUCAGUACAAAAUUUGACCCAAAUCGAUAACAUAAUAAGAUAAUAACUUUAAAAAAAUCCUAAAUAUAUAUUAAUUCCAACGAAACUAUAAAUUAAUAAUUACUAAAAGAUUCCAAAUUCCAAUAUUGUCUAGUAAAAAAUAAUGUGCAUUGAAACUUGCUUUUGUAAGAUAAUUUUUAAUGUAUAGUACAUGAAGAAAUGUGCAUUGAAACUUGUUUUUCUAGUUUAUUUAUUUAUUUAUUUUUUUUUUUUGGUACCAUGAACUAAUUUUUUGUAUUAGAAAACAAUGAACUUGACACAUUCAAUUAAUUUGUGAAUGUACAUUAGACUUGAAAACUUAAAGGUCAUACGUAUCUCUUUAAAUUAAUAAAAUAUUUCGGUCCUAAUAUUAUUAAUCUGUAGAGGUUUUACUGAUAUAUAUCCUACCGCCCAACGCUAUUUUCAUUGUUGACUUUAUGAAUUAGGUAUUAAAAUACUAGCAACGUGAUAAAUUAAUUCGACAAAUUUAAUCAUAUAUUACGUUUAUAGUGUAUAUUUGAACAAUGAAAACAAUAAAUUUAAAAGAAACCCAAGCUUUCUCAUUGAUUGUCAUUAACAAUAUAUUUAGUGGUCAUUUAUUUUGCGGUGAUGAAUUUUCUUUUUGUCAUCAAUACAUUUUAAGAAUGAUGAUCAUAUCAUAAUCUUUUUUGUAGUUCUACGGGUGGUCACAGGUAUUUAAGUUCCAUUUAUAGUGGGUUUAAAUAAGUUUUCCCCUUCAGGUCUCAAGUUUGAGUUUGGGUGAUAGGGUUUCUUAUUGAGGGGUUUAAAUUGGGGAUCUAUUGUGCGAGGGAGCUCUCUAGCGCGAACCCGGUUAAGACAACGUAUGUUAGACCUCCCAACAUUCACGAAUAAUUUACACCUUUAAAAAAAGAUUUGAAAAGAUUUUGCUAGAGAAUUGAGGAUUUUUAUGUUAUAUAAUAGUAAUUUCACAAGUUCUAGUUGAAUCAUAAAGGAGAUUACAUGCAUAAAGAAAACUAAUGGAUUUAGAGAUAUAAAGUUGUCACAUACAUAAUGAAUUUGAAGUACAAAAAUAAAAUAAUUGAAUAGUGGUGUGAUAAUUAAACACAUAAACAAUAAUACUUUAUUGGUGUAAUGGUGUAAUGUGAAAUAUAAGAUAAUUUUAGGGUUGUAUCAUUGGCACACCUUGGGGAUUAAAUCGACACCCUCAAUACGUAUCGUAUAGGUCUAUACGAUGCGUAUUGAGGUGGGUUCAAACUUUUAUGUCUGCCAAAGGCUGACAAUGUCCCCUUACCAAAAAGUAAUACGCAUCGUAUAGGCCUAUACUGUCACACCCCGAAAUAUCAGAGCAUUGGCGUGAUUGGACGGGUAUCUUCAUUGCACAACGGAAGCAAAAUAAGCUAAGACUUCUAGAAAACGAACGCCACUAAGUACUCGUAUCUCCAAUGGUUCUCCUAUUCCAACCGUGCCUUGACUUUGAAAAGCAACCUGAGAAAGAAACAUGCGAAAAAGUCAACAUAAAGUUGAGCGAGUUCAUAGUUUGUUUGUAAAAGAUUUAAAAUAAAUCUUUUGAAUAACCGGUUUGUGAAAUAAUAUUGAGAAAACGAACUUAGAAAUCAUUUUCUUGCCAAGUUAUAUGGAAACUUUAUAUUUGUAACGCGUUAUGUUCGUAAAACCAUGUAUUUGUAAAGUAUGUAUAACCGUCAAUGCCCACCCUGACUUUGACUCUAUGCCCGUAUAAUCCUAUACUCUGAAUUUGUGUAAAACAUGGUUUUUAUUUUGUAUAAAUCAAGCAUUUUGUAAGUGUGUAUGAUAAAUAUCCCUGGUAUGUAGCAAUAAGGAAAAAGAGAUCACCACUGGGUUACAAAGCCACUGGUAUGUGUGAAGUGAUGCAGGAAAACUCAAACCUAGCAAAUUUGUACCGGGCCUCGGCUGUAAGACACAGUCACCUCUAUGGGUCACCCUGACCUCACGGGUGUGGGCUCGCUACACCCAAAUAGAUCUAUCACUCUUGUGUCCCUCGGUCCUAACAACGAGGAUUAAUGGCUUUAAGUGUUGUACCCACGACUCACAUGAUCUGAACGUCCCAACCCUCCUUAAGCUAACCAUACCAUGUAUAAAAAUGUCCUAAAUAAUUGUAACAUGUAUUUUACCUCAACCUCUAAGGCUGAACCUCCCCAGCCUCUAAGGCUGAACCUCCCCAGCCUCUAAGACUGAACCUCUCAGCCUCUAAGGCCAACUCCCUAGUUAUGAAAAUCACUCA
RNAcentral lists this long non-coding RNA (2993 nucleotides) under Helianthus annuus (common sunflower). Its description in RNAcentral is "hypothetical non coding rna". Lineage: Eukaryota; Viridiplantae; Streptophyta; Magnoliopsida; Asterales; Asteraceae. The record is from RNAcentral.